UCAUAUUGCACUUGCAGGUAGCAUGUUGAGCCAAUAUAUUAGUAAGUUGAUACCUUUUAAAUUAUUAAGUACUCGAUGUAAUGACUUCUCAAGUUUGCGCAUUAACAGAAAAACCUCAAAAGCAAGACUUUUCAUGGGUAAAGCUAGCUUUAUGCCAAACCUUGCAUAUCUUGAUAUUUCAUAUCCAAAAAUUGGAUAGGAAAUGAACAAAUCUUAAAAUAUUAAAAGCAAAUCUGGACCAUUUUCACUUCAUGUAUGAUCUUCCUGACGGAUCUUCUUGCUGGUAGGCUUGCCAUAAGAAUUGGUGGUGUUUCUCUAAUAACAGAGCCGAUUCUACUACCAUCAACAUAGUGAUUUCCUCCAGCCAAAUGGUCUGAUGAGGGAGAUGUCUUCUUUGGUCUGGCUGUGAGCAAGGGGGUUGCAACUGUUAAAAAUGAAAGAACACAGAAAAUAUCUAUAGCAGCAUUAGUUUCACCGACAAUAUAUAUGCAUCUCUAAGAACGAAAAGAAGGAAUAAUUGAUGGAAUGAUUACUUUGGGAGAAUAGACCCCUCACGAAGAUACAACCAAAUAAAAGUAAAAAGUGUGUUGAAUUUUGGCAUUCCUUUGGCGAGUUUCGAAGCCGGAUGGAUGUUACUGAGCGGAAACCUUGUUAUUGUUGAAAU
Molecule: long non-coding RNA, 664 nt
Filed under: Panax ginseng (ginseng)
Lineage: Eukaryota; Viridiplantae; Streptophyta; Magnoliopsida; Apiales; Araliaceae
Description: long non-coding RNA (PGIN_LNC008726)
Source: RNAcentral